RNAcentral lists this ribosomal RNA (484 nucleotides) under uncultured bacterium. RNAcentral's name for it is "partial 16S ribosomal RNA". It matches the Rfam family "Bacterial small subunit ribosomal RNA", at positions 30 to 507 of the family's 1533-position model. The record is from RNAcentral.
AUUGAACGCUGGCGGCAGGCCUAACACAUGCAAGUCGAGCGGAUGAAGGGAGCUUGCUCCUGGAUUCAGCGGCGGGCGGGUGAGUAAUGCCUAGGAAUCUGCCUGGUAGUGGGGGAUAACGUCCGGAAACGGGCGCUAAUACCGCAUACGUCCUGAGGGAGAAAGUGGGGGAUCUUCGGACCUCACGCUAUCAGAUGAGCCUAGGUCGGAUUAGCUAGUUGGUGGGGUAAAGGCCUACCAAGGCGACGAUCCGUAACUGGUCUGAGAGGAUGAUCAGUCACACUGGAACUGAGACACGGUCCAGACUCCUACGGGAGGCAGCAGUGGGGAAUAUUGGACAAUGGGCGAAAGCCUGAUCCAGCCAUGCCGCGUGUGUGAAGAAGGUCUUCGGGUUGUAAAGCACUUUAAGUUGGGAGGAAGGGCAGUAAGUUAAUACCUUGCUGUUUUGACGUUACCAACAGAAUAAGCACCGGCUAACUUCGUG